UACGAGGGGGGCGAGCGUUGUUCGGAAUUAUUGGGCGUAAAGGGUGCGUAGGCGGUUUGGUAAGUCUCUUGUGAAAUCUAUGGGCUCAACUCAUAGUCUGCAAGGGAAACUGCCGGGCUUGAGUGUGGGAGAGGUGAGUGGAAUUUCCGGUGUAGCGGUGGAAUGCGUAGAUAUCGGAAGGAACACCUGUGGCGAAAGCGGCUCACUGGACCACAACUGACGCUGAUGCACGAAAGCCAGGGGAGCGAACGGG
RNAcentral lists this ribosomal RNA (253 nucleotides) under uncultured bacterium. RNAcentral describes it as "partial 16S ribosomal RNA". It matches the Rfam family "Bacterial small subunit ribosomal RNA", at positions 524 to 776 of the family's 1533-position model. The record is from RNAcentral.